AGAUGAGUCUCAAAAUUAACUUUUGAUCUUUCAAACUCUAGAUGAGAUAAUCUUAAAAAUUCAUAGGUGAUCUAUCAAACUUCAUACGAGAUGUACUUAUAAGUCGAUUUUGCUCCAAACAAUGUGAUGCUCAUAAGUUAGAAGUGGUUCGCGAAACUCCAAACGAGAUAAUACUUAUAACUAAAUUUCGAUCCUUUAAGCUUCAAAUGAGAUACUCAGCUACGGUCUUCAAACUCCAAAUGAGUGAUGCUUAUAACUCAAUUCCGAUCUAUCAAACUAUAGACAAGAUGAUGGUUACAAGUCUGUUAUAGUUUUUCAAGCUCCACACGAGAUGAUGCUCACAAGUCAGGUUUUAUCUUUCAAGUUGAAGAUGAGAUGAUACUCAUAAGCCAAAUCUCAUAUAACAAGCUUCAGAUAAGAUAAUAAUUAUAAGUUCGACGUACAAAAGUCAAAUGUGAUAUUUCAAGUUACAGACAAGAUAAUGCUCAAAAGUUUUGUAAGGUUCGAAUGAGACGAUAUUCGUAUAUAAGAUGGUUUUCCUAUAUCCGAUUAACAAUAAAUAGAUGUGUCAAUCCUUCAUCAUAUUCUAUGUUAAAUUUACCUAAAUAUUUUCUUAUUUUUCUAAAAUC
RNAcentral lists this long non-coding RNA (629 nucleotides) under Salvia miltiorrhiza (redroot sage). RNAcentral's name for it is "long non-coding RNA (SMIL_LNC013779)". Lineage: Eukaryota; Viridiplantae; Streptophyta; Magnoliopsida; Lamiales; Lamiaceae. The record is from RNAcentral.